UACGUCGGGUGCAAGCGUUAUCCGGAAUUAUUGGGCGUAAAGCGAUCAUAGGUGGACAAGUAGGUCUGGUGUUAAAUACCCACGGCUCAACCGGGGUGCCGCAUUGGAAACCGCUUGACUAGAGGAAGACAGAGGCAGGUGGAAUUUCCAUUGUAGGGGUUAAAUCCGUAGAUAAUGGAAGGAACACCGAAAGCGAAGGCAGCCUGCUGGGUCUUUCCUGACACUGCUUGAUCGAAAGCGUGGGGAGCGAAACGG
Molecule: ribosomal RNA, 255 nt
Filed under: uncultured bacterium
Lineage: Bacteria
Description: partial 16S ribosomal RNA
Rfam family: Bacterial small subunit ribosomal RNA
Source: RNAcentral